RNAcentral lists this ribosomal RNA (253 nucleotides) under uncultured bacterium. RNAcentral's name for it is "partial 16S ribosomal RNA". It matches the Rfam family "Bacterial small subunit ribosomal RNA", at positions 524 to 776 of the family's 1533-position model. The record is from RNAcentral.
UACGAAGGUGGCAAGCGUUACUCGGAAUUACUAGGCGUAAAGCGCAGGUAGGUGGUUUGGUAAGUCCGCAAUGAAAUCUCCCGGCUUAACUGGGGGGGGUUUGUGGAUACUGUCAGGCUCGAGUGUGGGAGAGGUAACUGGAAUUCCUGGUGUAGCGGUGAAAUGCGUAGAUAUCAGGAGGAACACCAAUGGCGAAAGCAGGUUACUGGCCCAAUACUGACGCUGAGCUGCGAAAGCUAGGGGAGCAAACAGG